Molecule: transfer RNA, 77 nt
Filed under: Sulfuriferula multivorans
Lineage: Bacteria; Pseudomonadati; Pseudomonadota; Betaproteobacteria; Nitrosomonadales; Sulfuricellaceae
Also listed under: 5 other names
Description: tRNA-Arg
Rfam family: tRNA
About the family: Transfer RNA (tRNA) molecules are approximately 80 nucleotides in length. Their secondary structure includes four short double-helical elements and three loops (D, anti-codon, and T loops).
Source: RNAcentral
GCGCCCGUAGCUCAGCUGGAUAGAGUACUUGGCUACGAACCAAGGGGUCGCACGUUCGAAUCGUGCCGGGCGCACCA